GACGAACGCUGGCGGCGCGCUUAACACAUGCAAGUCGAACGGAAAGGCCUGCUUUCCCUUGUGGAUUGCGGGUACUCGAGUGGCGAACGGGUGAGUAACACGUGAGUGAUCUGCCCCCAACUUGGGUAUAAGCCUGGGAAACUGGGUCUAAUUCCCGAUAGGACUGCAGGGCGGUGCCUGUGGUGGAAAACGAUUUUCUAGUGGUUGGGGAUGAGCUGGCGGCCUAUCAGCUUGUUGGUGGGGUAAUGGCCUACCAAGGCGGCGACGGGUAGCCGGCCUGGGAGGGUGGACGGCCACAUUGGGACUGGGAUACGGCCCAGACGCCUACGGGAGGCAGCAGUGGGGAAGAUUGGGCAAUGGGCGGAAGCCUGAUGCAGCGACGCCGCGGGGGGGAUGACGGGCUUCGGGUUGUAAACUCCUUUCGACGGCGAGGUAGCCACCUGGUUGGAAGGGUGGUGACGGUAGUGGGAGAAGAAGCACCGGCUAACUACGUG
RNAcentral lists this ribosomal RNA (494 nucleotides) under uncultured bacterium. Its description in RNAcentral is "partial 16S ribosomal RNA". It matches the Rfam family "Bacterial small subunit ribosomal RNA", at positions 28 to 507 of the family's 1533-position model. The record is from RNAcentral.